CCCUUAGAUGUCCUGGGCCGCACGCGCGCUACACUGAGUGUCUGAGAUACGAGUCUGCCUGGUCCGGCAAGGUCUAGGUAAUCGCUAAAAGACACAUCAUGCUUGGGAUAGAUUAUUGCAAAUAUUAAUCUUGAACGAGGAAUUCCUAGUAAGCGCAAGUCAACAGCUUGCGUUGAUUACGUCCCUGCCCUUUGUACACACCGCCCGUCGCUACUACUGAUUGGAUGUUUAAGCGAGGUUCUCGAACUGCUAGCGACUUAGCUUCGGUGAGGUCGCGGUGUGGGAAGUGAACCUAGCUUUGGUGUCUAGAGGAAGUAAAAGUCGUAACA
Molecule: ribosomal RNA, 329 nt
Filed under: uncultured eukaryote
Lineage: Eukaryota
Description: partial 18S ribosomal RNA
Rfam family: Eukaryotic small subunit ribosomal RNA
Source: RNAcentral